Gossypium arboreum is the source of this 505-nucleotide long non-coding RNA. RefSeq lists it as uncharacterized. Lineage: Eukaryota; Viridiplantae; Streptophyta; Magnoliopsida; Malvales; Malvaceae. The record is from RefSeq and is a predicted model, not a curated record. The transcript is spliced from 2 exons.
AGCUGUGCAAACAAAAAAAUACACGGGAAAGGGUUGUGGGGUUUCUCUGGGUUUUCCUUCCCCGGCGAUCGGACCGCCGUUCGUCUGUCGCCGACGACCACCGUAUGCGGUGGCCGGCGGUAUGAAACCGAACCCUUUUUAACCCUUCUUUCUUCUCUGACCCAAAUCUUGAGUCUAUACACUCAAAAACAAAAAAAGAUCCCGCGAGCUGACAAAACGCGAAGGAACCUCUCGGUUUCCAACAUUUUCGGCCACCAAAAAUAGGCUUAGGGGGUCAAUGGGGCAGAAGCUUGCCAUUUUGGUGCAAGCAGUGUCAGGGGAGCCGUCCCUCGAGCGGAGCGAGCGCCGAGGACGCACAUGGAGGCUGCGGUGCCUAGGGUUUCCUUGGCUGAGAGUGUUCAAGCUAUGGGCUAUUCUUUGGGCUAGGGUUUUUUAGUUUUGGGCCUACAAAAUUUGGGCUUUUUUUAUGUAAAUGGACUGUUAAUAAAUCUUGGAUUUUUACUCA